This 431-nucleotide ribosomal RNA is filed under the name uncultured bacterium. RNAcentral's name for it is "partial 16S ribosomal RNA". It matches the Rfam family "Bacterial small subunit ribosomal RNA", at positions 29 to 507 of the family's 1533-position model. The record is from RNAcentral.
AACGAACGCUGGCGGCAGGCUUAACACAUGCAAGUCGAACGCCCCGCAAGGGGAGUGGCAGACGGGUGAGUAACGCGUGGGAAUCUACCCUGAACUGCGGGCUAGCUCCGGGAAACUGGAAUUAAUACCGCAUGUGCCCUGAGGGGCAAAGAUUUAUCGGUUCAGGAUGAGCCCGCGUCCGAUUAGCUAGUUGGUGGGGUAAAGGCCUACCAAGGCGACGAUCGGUAGCUGGUCUAAGAGGAUGAUCAGCCACAUUGGGACUGAGACACGGCCCAAACUCCUACGGGAGGCAGCAGUGGGGAAUAUUGGACGAUGGGCGCAAGCCUGAUCCAGCCAUGCCGCGUGAGUGAUGAAGGCCCUAGGGUUGUAAAGCUCUUUCACCGGGGACGAUAAUGACGGUACCCGGAGAAGAAGCCCCGGCUAACUUCGUG